This 506-nucleotide ribosomal RNA is filed under the name uncultured bacterium. RNAcentral describes it as "partial 16S ribosomal RNA". It matches the Rfam family "Bacterial small subunit ribosomal RNA", at positions 28 to 507 of the family's 1533-position model. The record is from RNAcentral.
GACGAACGCUGGCGGCGUGCUUAACACAUGCAAGUCGAACGGUGAAGGGACUGGUUUUGCUGGUCCUGGAUGAGUGGCGAACGGGUGAGUAACACGUGAGUAACCUGCCCCCUUCUUCUGGAUAACCGCAUGAAAGUGUGGCUAAUACGGGAUAUUCUGGGUCUGUCGCAUGGUGGGCCUGGGAAAGAUUGCGCCUUUUUUGGUGUUUUUGGUGGGGGAUGGGCUCGCGGCCUAUCAGCUUGUUGGUGGGGUGAUGGCCUACCAAGGCGGUGACGGGUAGCCGGCCUGAGAGGGUGGACGGUCACACUGGGACUGAGACACGGCCCAGACUCCUACGGGAGGCAGCAGUGGGGAAUAUUGCACAAUGGGUGGAAGCCUGAUGCAGCGACGCCGCGUGAGGGAUGGAGGCCUUCGGGUUGUGAACCUCUUUCGCCAGUGAAGCAGGCCUGCCUCUUUUUGUGGGUGGGUUGACGGUAGCUGGAUAAGAAGCGCCGGCUAACUACGUG